Cottoperca gobio is the source of this 2492-nucleotide long non-coding RNA. The record is from Ensembl. Lineage: Eukaryota; Metazoa; Chordata; Actinopteri; Perciformes; Bovichtidae.
AGUAUUUCAUUCAUCAAUGUAAAUAUAUGCAGAAAUGGCAUUAUUAUUUAAAUUAGCAGAGAUAGAUGAGAAGUUAAAAUUGAAUACUUCCUCUCAUAUAAAAAUGUAGGCCUGAUAUAAUAUAAGAUAGAAUUGAGAUUUGUGGAUGUGAGGAGACAGUAUAUGAAAGUAGAAAUGAAGAGGCAGGAAAUGUAUGAAUGAAAAGAGACAAAGGGAAGAGAGACGAAAAGAGAACAUGGGAGGAAAGGUUUAAUUCUAUUCUCUGCUGUGUUUUCAAUUAUUGUUUCUCCACGUGUGCAAAUUUGCAUCUACAAUACAUUCACAAGAUAUUUUAUAAUGAAUAAUAGCCAUGAAUCUUAUUAACUUAUAAGGUUUUUGUUUCUGUAGAGGCAGAACAGCCUGAUAGCGCUCCACCAUGGGGAGCACUUGUUGGCGGGAUCAUUGGGAUCAUCUCACUCAUCUGUGUGGUUGUUGCUAUUUGGGAAGUAUCUCAAAUCAACUUCACAUCCAGAUCUUAAUAUCUUUUAUUACACAGAAACAUGACGCUGACCCCUCUUAUGUCUUCCAGGUGGUUAAAGUCAAAACAUCCAACUUCACAACAGACACAGUGGGAGCAGAUUGAGGGAAGAAACGAGACAGAAAUACAUUUUGCGCAGAGGCUAACAGCUGAAGAGCUAGCUGUUCAAGAAUCAGCAACAGAAACAGAAGAAGACAUCCAUUACGGAGAGAUCGACUUCUCCAAGCGGAGACCUGAACAGCCCUCAGAGCAGGACGGUGCACAGCAGCAGGAAUCUCUGUACGCACAGGUCAAAGUGCCCGAGACAGCAAACCGCUCAACACCGACUGAUGACGAGGCGCUCUACGCCCAAGUGAAGAGGAAAUGAGUAUCGUCUUGUGAUCACAUUUAGGUUGGAUAAAUAAACUUACAUGUUUUACAAUCUAUGUCUUGAUGUAGAAAAAGACACUGGAGCAAGGGCGGGAAAUGUAAUCUUCACUGCCCAGUGAAAAAAAGGGGAACUUCAAACCUCCACAUCCUGCUGCUCAGAUACUUUUGCAAUGUACAGUUAUAACAUAAUCCGUAUGUGUUAACGACCGUAUAUGGUGUGAUACUGUGUGAUGUCCAUAUUAGUACAAAAGCUCUCAAUAGGGAACUUUUGUAAAUAACAUUAGAAUGACUUAAAGUGAACUUUACACCAGAAGUUCUGUACACACAUUAACGGGGAUUGCAUUUUAUUUUGAAAUGUUAGUGUUAUUUUGUUACAUUUUCUUCUGUUUCUUCUGUAUUUUGUAUCUCGCAUUUUAAUUACUUUAAUAAUGAACAUGAGACAGUUUCUGCAUUUGAAGAUAUUUAUUCAUUGCACUGUAAUAAAAACCCUGGCAUACAACUUCUUAAAAUACCUAGUAAUCUCAGUUGUAUUUUUUUAACAUUUCACAUUUUGCGCAUAAACAUCACCUGAAAUCAUACAAUUUAAAUCAAACAUAGCAAAAUGUCAAGUUGAAUUAUGCAUAGUAAUUCCCACUGGAAAUCUGCUGCAAUGUUUUGAGCAGUUAUUGUCCUUCUGAUAUAUAUGUAUUUGAAUAUCAAGCUCAAUUUAAAAUAAAAGGGCAUUUUAUGAGACUCUGUCAAUAUUGUAUUAAACGAUCUGGAGCUAAUAUUCACUUAUAAAAAUGUUAUGAGUAACCAUGUUAAACUGUAAACAUUAGCAGCCUAGACAUUGUGUUGUUACAGGUCUCAGAGGCCGUGUCUUGUGAGUGACGUGACAUUAGCUUCUCUACAUAACAAGUUUGACAAGGUCACAGAAAUCUAACCUUCAUGUGGAGUCAAAGCUCCCUCCUGCCACCAGACUCUGUUACAGUUUUAGUGUGAAGUCGUAUUCAAAGUUAUUAAAUUGUAGAUUAGCUUUUUAUCUCUGACAUUUAAUUCCCAAGAGAAGUCUCUUCAUAAAAGAGAAAGGCAAGAGUCACUGCUUGUGUUUUCAUGCACAGAGAAAUGUAACUACUGGCUAUUGGUCUUUUUGGAGGCAGAGCUUUUUUAUUCAACCGAUGAUUGAACAAACGCACGUCUCAACAUAUAACACGGGAGAUCUUAAAGUUGCCAUAAAGCAUCUUUGACUGAGCAGCGAGUACUAGAACUCUUUCAUACUAGCAUUUCAGUGCAAUUCCUAUGUGGUGAAGACAAAAGAGGAGUGGCAGCAUAAGUUUAUAAGUUUAAAACCAAAUAACUGUUUUCAGAACUAAGUUCUCUGUGUAUGUAAGCUCAGCCAGUGACUCUGAUUGCACCUUAAUGAUCUGAAUCCUGGACUUUCCAACAAAACCCCGACAACAUAAAGGAAAACGCAGAUCGGACCUUCACAACUGAAAUGAAUGAUAGAAGUGAUGGAAAUGCUUUCUUCAUAAACACUUUCUGCUCCAUGAAAAGCUUCUUUGCAGAAAAUCAGAAAGUUUAAACAUUACACCUCAUUUGUGUUUAAUUCAACACACUUCACAUGCAU